RNAcentral lists this ribosomal RNA (718 nucleotides) under uncultured bacterium. RNAcentral describes it as "bacterial SSU rRNA". It matches the Rfam family "Bacterial small subunit ribosomal RNA", at positions 8 to 774 of the family's 1533-position model. The record is from RNAcentral.
AGAGUUUGAUCAUGGCUCAGAACGAACGCUGGCGGCAGGCUUAACACAUGCAAGUCGAGCGCCCCGCAAGGGGAGCGGCAGACGGGUGAGUAACGCGUGGGAACGUACCUUUUGCUACGGAAUAACUCAGGGAAACUUGUGCUAAUACCGUAUGUGCCCUUCGGGGGAAAGAUUUAUCGGCAAAGGAUCGGCCCGCGUUGGAUUAGCUAGUUGGUGAGGUAAAGGCUCACCAAGGCGACGAUCCAUAGCUGGUCUGAGAGGAUGAUCAGCCACACUGGGACUGAGGCACGGCCCAGACUCCUACGGGAGGCAGCAGUGGGGAAUAUUGGACAAUGGGCGCAAGCCUGAUCCAGCCAUGCCGCGUGAGUGAUGAAGGCCCUAGGGUUGUAAAGCUCUUUCACCGGUGAAGAUAAUGACGGUAACCGGAGAAGAAGCCCCGGCUAACUUCGUGCCAGCAGCCGCGGUAAUACGAAGGGGGCUAGCGUUGUUCGGAUUUACUGGGCGUAAAGCGCACGUAGGCGGACUUUUAAGUCAGGGGUGAAAUCCCGGGGCUCAACCCCGGAACUGCCUUUGAUACUGGAAGUCUUGAGUAUGGUAGAGGUGAGUGGAAUUCCGAGUGUAGAGGUGAAAUUCGUAGAUAUUCGGAGGAACACCAGUGGCGAAGGCGGCUCACUGGACCAUUACUGACGCUGAGGUGCGAAAGCGUGGGGAGCAAACA